Molecule: ribosomal RNA, 1029 nt
Filed under: Pectobacterium carotovorum
Lineage: Bacteria; Pseudomonadati; Pseudomonadota; Gammaproteobacteria; Enterobacterales; Pectobacteriaceae
Description: bacterial SSU rRNA
Rfam family: Bacterial small subunit ribosomal RNA
Source: RNAcentral
CUAUGCAGUCGAGCGGGGGAGAUUGCUUCGGUAAUUGACCUAGCGGCGGACGGGUGAGUAAUACUUAGGAAUCUGCCUAUUAAUGGGGGACAACAUCUCGAAAGGGAUGCUAAUACCGCAUACGCCCUACGGGGGAAAGCAGGGGAUCACUUGUGACCUUGCGUUAAUAGAUGAGCCUAAGUCGGAUUAGCUAGUUGGUGGGGUAAAGGCCUACCAAGGCGACGAUCUGUAGCGGGUCUGAGAGGAUGAUCCGCCACACUGGGACUGAGACACGGCCCAGACUCCUACGGGAGGCAGCAGUGGGGAAUAUUGGACAAUGGGGGGAACCCUGAUCCAGCCAUGCCGCGUGUGUGAAGAAGGCCUUAUGGUUGUAAAGCACUUUAAGCGAGGAGGAGGCUCCUGUAGUUAAUACCUACAGUGAGUGGACGUUACUCGCAGAAUAAGCACCGGCUAACUCUGUGCCAGCAGCCGCGGUAAUACAGAGGGUGCGAGCGUUAAUCGGAUUUACUGGGCGUAAAGCGUGCGUAGGCGGCUUUUUAAGUCGGAUGUGAAAUCCCCGAGCUUAACUUGGGAAUUGCAUUCGAUACUGGGAAGCUAGAGUAUGGGAGAGGAUGGUAGAAUUCCAGGUGUAGCGGUGAAAUGCGUAGAGAUCUGGAGGAAUACCGAUGGCGAAGGCAGCCAUCUGGCCUAAUACUGACGCUGANGUACGAAAGCAUGGGGAGCAAACAGGAUUAGAUACCCUGGUAGUCCAUGCCGUAAACGAUGUCUACUAGCCGUUGGGGCCUUUGAGGCUUUAGUGGCGCAGCUAACGCGAUAAGUAGACCCGCCUGGGGAGACGGUCGCAAGACUAAAACUCAAAUGAAUUGACGGGGGGCCCGCACAAAGCGGUGGAGCAUGUGGUUUUAUUCGAUGCAACGCGAAAGAACCUUACCUGGUCUUGACUAGUAAAUUCAGAUGGAUGGUGCUCGGAUAUACAGGNGCUGCAUGGGUCNUCAGCUCGCUGAUGGGUAUCCACGCACCCCUUUUUCU